RNAcentral lists this ribosomal RNA (440 nucleotides) under uncultured bacterium. RNAcentral's name for it is "partial 16S ribosomal RNA". It matches the Rfam family "Bacterial small subunit ribosomal RNA", at positions 338 to 795 of the family's 1533-position model. The record is from RNAcentral.
CCUACGGGGGGCAGCAGUAGGGAAUAUUGCUCAAUGGGGGAAACCCUGAAGCAGCAACGCCGCGUGGAGGAUGAAGGUUUUCGGAUUGUAAACUCCUUUUGUUAGAGAAGAUAAUGACGGUAUCUAACGAAUAAGCACCGGCUAACUCCGUGCCAGCAGCCGCGGUAUUACGGAGGGUGCAAGCGUUACGCGGAUUAGCUGGGCGUAAAGUGCGCGUAGGCGGGAUAGCAAGUCAGAUGUGAAAUCCUAUGGCUUAACCAUAGAACUGCAUUUGAAACUGGUAUUCUAGAGUAUGGGAGAGGUAGGUGGAAUUCUUGGUGUAGGGGUAAAAUCCGUAGAGAUCAAGAGGAAUACUCAUUGCGAAGGCGAGCGGCUAGAACAUAACUGACGCUGAGGCGCGAAAGCGUGGGGAGCAAACAGGAUUAGAUACCCGAGUAGUC